GUUGCAACCAUUGAAUCCUUCUAUCUAGCGUUACCCUGACCUUGAUCCCCUUCCAUCCUUACUCCAACCCUUUUCCUGUGGAUUGCUUUCUCCAUGAUGGCUUCAGUCUUCAAACCACUCAUACCCUCUGGAACCACAGCACCAACAGCUACAAAAUUAGAACCCUCCAUCUGUAAGUUCAGAAAUUCUCUCUUUCCCAGGAUCUCUACAUACCUCCUAAAAGCUCUCUUGAUAGAAGAUCUCAUGACUGCCAAUCCAGAUGCAUGUGCCUGCCUCUGAGACAGGGAGUCCUGACCACCAGCCCUACUUCAUCCGAGUGGAAUAGUACCUGGUGGUAAAGGCCAUGGGAAAAAGGACAAGAACAAACUCAGCACUUCCACUGUUCUCUGAACUCUUAUGGCUGAAGAAAUUCUGCACAAAUAUUUGCUGUCUGUGACUGAUGCAACUUCACAGACAGAUAAGACUCUCAU
This 470-nucleotide long non-coding RNA is filed under the name Marmota monax (woodchuck). The record is from RNAcentral. Lineage: Eukaryota; Metazoa; Chordata; Mammalia; Rodentia; Sciuridae.